Molecule: ribosomal RNA, 253 nt
Filed under: uncultured bacterium
Lineage: Bacteria
Description: partial 16S ribosomal RNA
Rfam family: Bacterial small subunit ribosomal RNA
Source: RNAcentral
UACGUAGGUGGCAAGCGUUGUCCGGAUUUACUGGGCGUAAAGGGCGCGUAGGCGGCUUUGCAAGUGACGGGUGAAAUCCCUCGGCUUAACCGAGGAACUGCCUGUCAAACUGCAUGGCUUGAGACCGGGAGAGGUGAGUGGAAUUCCCAGUGUAGCGGUGAAAUGCGUAGAUAUCGUAAGGAAGACCAGUGGCGAAGGCGGGUCUCUGGACAGUUCCUGACGCUGAGGCACGAAGGUCAGGGGAGCAAACGGG